UUUCAACCACCAGAGCCACAACACCUACUCCUAUAUUCAAUUCCGGCGCCAAUCCUCUUCUUCAUCAUCCCUUCCAAAGUGCCAGUAUGCCGGGCGCCGAUGGUGCGAAGACGGUCUCCGGCGGCGAUCUGCUUGAGAAGCCGAUCGCGCUGCUGCCGUCCACCAAGCUGAUCAAGGAAGGGUUUGAGUUCAAGUACAAGACGCUGGAGCACAUCUACGAGAACAUGGUGGAGUACGGCAAGGCCCUGGGGAUCCUUCCCAACUGAACUGUUGUGAUGAUGAUGAUGCUCCGUGUGCUUUUGAUUUGAUCUUCCCGUACCCGCAAAAUAAGUCUUGUCUCUGCACUCUGGUCACGUCAUCAGAAGGCAGAAAACUGCGGGUGGUUUGAACGUAGCUCCCCAUUUUCUGUAGGAGUAUUUAUUUUGCGAGCAGUUUGGUUAUUAAUUGACUAGCUUUUUCGCUGUUUUUUAGAGGAAGUUUGAAUGUGCGUGGCAUGGAUCGCCUGUUCCUUAGAAAUGUGUUUUCUGAAGAAGUUUGAAUGUACCGCCGGGAAAAGAUCGACCAAUCUUAUGCCAGUCACAUUUAUCUGCUUUAUGCAUUUCUGCAUGACACAUCUCUGUGUCUUGAGCAAGGGUAAGGGUAAAUUAUCAGUCAUAA
Long non-coding RNA from Sorghum bicolor (sorghum), 657 nucleotides. RefSeq lists it as uncharacterized. Lineage: Eukaryota; Viridiplantae; Streptophyta; Magnoliopsida; Poales; Poaceae. The record is from RefSeq and is a predicted model, not a curated record. The transcript has 2 exons.